CCGUCGGCACUCUCUCUCUCACGCCCUUUCAUCUCCACCAGGGCUCUCGAUCGCCAUCAUCGAACCACCGGCGUUGCGAGCUUUAUGACGAAACAAUGCCAUGAGCUUAUGGGGGGGAAAUAACUGGAAAGGGUUGAGAAUUCAAAGGUCCCCAGCCAAUUGGACAGUUGUGCUUCAUAAUUUUAUUUGCUGCGUAGAGGGAUGGGGUAGUCUAUGGCCACGAGGUCUUAAAUUCCUUUCUUUCCUCCUUGUCAUUAUCUUCAAGCUUGCAAAACAUGCUGGUUGACUCCCAUUUAAUGAUACUGUACCCUGAAGCUAGCCAUGUCGGCUUUGGUCUUUUUCUUGAAGAAUUGUUGGGAAACGGUUUUGGACUCGCCAUACUGAAGUGAUGUGCUUAGUUGAUUUACUCAAUGGAGCCAAGAGUCUCUGUAAAUCAGCUACUGUCGAACAAGGUAUAAUAAGCAGUGACCAAUGACCAAGGGAUUAUAGACUUCAGUUGUUUUCUUGUAUUGAAAGUAGGUUCUUUGUGUAUACCCUCUAUCUAUUAACUCAUGAGAUCUCAUAUUUUUUCAUCGAUUGGCAAUGGAUACAUCAUCUCGUGUCAACUCUGUAGGAUUUUUUAAUGGUGAUCUUUCUAUUCAGAAAGAACAUUGUAGAAUGAGGUACGGCCGAUGAAUGGACAGAGGAGCAAUGUGUUCAAACUGCUGAGACAGUUUGUUAUGAGAAUGUCAAGUAAGAUUCUGUACACUUCUAUGAUAUUUUACUUGGCAAUGGGUACCUAGUUAUUGUCAUGUUGCUGCUAUUGGGGUUUUUGGUGUGACAUCUAUCUUGUGUUAGCCGCGAAUGCCAUGAAGAUCCAACUUCUAAGGUCUUGCUGAAUUUUUUGGUCAUACUCAAAUAGUUCAUGUUGUGUUUGGUGGUGAUAUCAGACAGAUAUAUUUUGAUCAGAUGCUUAAAGAAUGGGUAUGUUUAAGGCAGUUACAUGAUGCCGGUUUAUAGCGGUUUUUGAUGUGACAUCUAUCUUGUGUUAGCUGUGAACGCCAUGAAGAUCCAACUUCUAUGGUCUUGUUGAAUUUUUGGUCAUACUCAAAUUAGUUCAUGUUGUGUUCGGCAGUGAUAUCAGAUAGAUAUAUUUUGAUCAGAUGCUUAAUGAAUGGGUAUGUUUAAGGCAGUUACAUGAUGCCGGUUUAUGGUGUUAUUACCCGUUAUCAUGGGCCGUGGCAUUGUUACUGCCAGCGUAACAUGUAUGUUUUACUUGUUAAACUUCUUUGAUGAACAGGGAAAUAUUGCAGUCUAUCUGCUGCAUGUACACACACAGAGCAUAGAGCCUGCGGGGGUAGCAAAACAGCCGCCCAGUUUGACUGGUUAUUCCUUCCAUAUAUGAGGGCUCUAAAUUCAACCUAGAGUCAAAAGGUACUGAGGGUGGCAGUUAACGACAGCUAUGCUUAAUUCUCUGAACUUCCUUGGACCUUGACCAGACCAUCCAGUAAGUAAAAUUCCAGAUCUCAUCUGAUACAGAAUGGCAAUCCAAAGUAGUCGAUGAGCAGGAUGAACAACCUCCCCUUCUUCCUGGUAUUAGUUCAAUCCCCUUGCCUGGGGUAGAGUUGUUAACUGGCAAUACUGACUUGAAGAUACAACUCUCACGUUUUUUCUUUUUUCUUUUUUUUUGAUAGGCUAUCUCAUGGUUUUUCUUCUGUCUAAUAAUCCUUGGUCUUCUAUUUACCUGACCUGAAAGGAGUUAUUGUGUUUGUUGGCCUUCUCUAAAAAGAGUUGUAGAUGAUGAUUGCUGCUGAUUUGGGGUGAAAGUUGUGCAGGAGACAAAGAGGCGACCUGGGGCGACCAAAUUGACUGCAAAAGCAGUUCUUGGAACUGCUACUACUGAUUCUGCUGGUUGUCACCGUGACUCUAUUCUCUCUUAGGCUUCUGUGAAAGCUGAACCAGCAACUUUUGAUACCAAGCAGUAGAGAUGGGGCCAUCAAGGUUUGGAAGUGAAGAACCUUGACUGGAACAACAGUCAGAUUCAAUCUAUUCGGGCUGGCAUUUUCCAGUUAUCUUGUUGACAAGUGCAUCCAGAAUGAAAAAGAAGAACGUAUUGAAUCAGGAAAUAUUAAAGCGUUGAACAAACCUGCUACAUGCCUCUGAAACAUAGGGUCGCCAAAUUUCUUCAUCCAGAUGAAGUCAUCAUACAUUGAGUGGUAGACGGGGUAACCUGCCAUUGAUGAUUUCAAUCAGGAAUGAAGGAUCCAGCAUGAGGCUAAAGGUACAGAGACUUGCUUAGGUGGUGGUUCUUAAGGAUGAACAGUUGCUUUUUCAGCUAUCUUUUAUAAGUUAGCAUGAGACUUGGAAAACUUGAUGAAUCCUUUAUUCAGAAGGGUUUAGUUACAUACUGUUAAAUUUUUUUUGUUUAUGUGAUGAUAAUUAUCUUAAUACGAGGACAUUCUGUUCCUGUCAAUAGCAUUACAUGUAGACCAGAUCUCUGAAUGUAUGUGUUUGUGCUCAUUAUACCAAAUGAAAGUCAAUGCCAGAAAGAUGCU
Molecule: long non-coding RNA, 2534 nt
Organism: Rhododendron vialii
Lineage: Eukaryota; Viridiplantae; Streptophyta; Magnoliopsida; Ericales; Ericaceae
Exons: 10
Source: RefSeq, a predicted model, not a curated record